Molecule: ribosomal RNA, 465 nt
Filed under: uncultured bacterium
Lineage: Bacteria
Description: partial 16S ribosomal RNA
Rfam family: Bacterial small subunit ribosomal RNA
Source: RNAcentral
GACGAACGCUGGCGGCGUGCUUAACACAUGCAAGUCGAACGGAAAGGCCCUGCUUGCCGGGUACUCGAGUGGCGAACGGGUGAGUAACACGUGGGUGAUCUGCCCUUCACUUCGGGAUAAGCCUGGUAAACUGGGUCUAAUACCGGAUAGGAGCCAUUUUUAGUGUGAUGGUUGGAAAGUUUUUUCGGUGUAGGAUGAGCUCGCGGCCUACCAGUUUGUUGGUGGGGUAAUGGCCUACCAAGGCGGCUACGGGUAGCCGGCCUGAGAGGGUGGACGGCCACAUUGGGACUGAGAUACGGCCCAGACUCCUACGGGAGGCAGCAGUGGGGGAUAUUGCACAAUGGGCGCAAGCCUGAUGCAGCGACGCCGCGUGGGGGAUGACGGCCUUCGGGUUGUAAACUCCUUUCGCUAGGGACGAAGCUUUUUGUGACGGUACCUAGAUAAGAAGCACCGGCUAACUACGUG